Non-coding RNA from Benincasa hispida (wax gourd), 596 nucleotides. Lineage: Eukaryota; Viridiplantae; Streptophyta; Magnoliopsida; Cucurbitales; Cucurbitaceae. The record is from RefSeq and is a predicted model, not a curated record.
UGAACUUUAUUUAGGGGAUCUUUGGAUCAAAUGUAGAUUGAGCAAAUUGGUAUAGGACAAUUACAUUGGUCAACAACAAACUAUGCUCCUUUGCAACAGAUGGCUCUUUGGGAUGAACUUGUGGCAAUGGAUUAGGUCAAACAGUUGGCGUAAGCAACUAUGGACCGAAGCAACUGGUAAAGAUAUAUGACGGCUUAAAAGACCGAGGAGUUGCCUUAUGCUCAGCUCAGGUGCAAUUUUCUUUACUAAGCAUAGGCGACGAUUAAUUGGAGAUCAAGAAGACAUGUGGUUGCUUGGGCAUCCGCUUAAUCGCUUACAGUCCUUUAGGAUUGGGUAUGCUUAUAGGAAAAUACUCACCUUCCAAGUUUCCAUCUGGACCCUCGGUAAAUCAUUUUAUUUAUUUAUUUUUUUUUUAUUAUGAACAAGAAUAUGAUAACGUUAGUAAUUUGGAUUGAAGUCUUUUUGUUUGUUUAUCUUGGCUUGGUAUUGUACAUUUUUUGAUUAAAUUCGGCAUAGUGAUUGUUGCCAAUGGAUAGAUCCUAUCACACUGGAUGUGUUCUUGACAAUUGAAUGAGAAGCUUUGGAAGAAAUUUGAU